This 478-nucleotide ribosomal RNA is filed under the name uncultured bacterium. RNAcentral describes it as "partial 16S ribosomal RNA". It matches the Rfam family "Bacterial small subunit ribosomal RNA", at positions 28 to 507 of the family's 1533-position model. The record is from RNAcentral.
GACGAACGCUGGCGGCGUGCUUAACACAUGCAAGUCGAACGGGAUUUAGUAAACGGAAGCCUCGGUGGAAGAUUACUAAUGAGAGUGGCGAACGGGUGAGUAACGCGUGAGCAACCUGCCUAUGACAGUGGGAUAGCCUCGGGAAACCGGGAUUAAUACCGCAUAAAAUCGUAGAAACAUAUGUUUCAACGGUCAAAGAUUUAUCGGUCAUAGAUGGGCUCGCGUCUGAUUAGCUAGUUGGUGAGAUAACAGCCCACCAAGGCGACGAUCAGUAGCCGGUCUGAGAGGAUGAACGGCCACAUUGGAACUGAGACACGGUCCAAACUCCUACGGGAGGCAGCAGUGGGGAAUAUUGCACAAUGGGGGAAACCCUGAUGCAGCGACGCCGCGUGAACGAAGAAGGUAUACGUAUCGUAAAGUUCUGUCCUAUGGGAAGAUAAUGACAGUACCAUAGAAGAAAGCUCCGGCUAAAUACGUG